CCCUUGGAGCAUUAUGGCAAACAAAAGUAGUUAAUUUAAUUUAAUAACGAAAUUGGAUGCAAUGAAUAGGGAA
This 73-nucleotide non-coding RNA is filed under the name unclassified sequences. RNAcentral describes it as "RAGATH-18 RNA". It matches the Rfam family "RAGATH-18 RNA". From Rfam's summary of the family: Actinobacteria, Firmicutes, Fusobacteria, Thermotogae (1 example). Nearby to self-cleaving ribozyme genes The record is from Rfam by way of RNAcentral.